UACGUAGGGGGCAAGCGUUGUCCGGAAUUAUUGGGCGUAAAGCGCGCGCAGGCGGUCCUUUAAGUCUGAUGUGAAAGCCCACGGCUCAACCGUGGAGGGUCAUUGGAAACUGGAGGACUUGAGUACAGAAGAGGAAAGCGGAAUUCCACGUGUAGCGGUGAAAUGCGUAGAGAUGUGGAGGAACACCAGUGGCGAAGGCAGCUCGCUGGGACGGUACUGACGCUGAGACGCGAAAGCGUGGGGAGCAAACAGG
Molecule: ribosomal RNA, 253 nt
Filed under: uncultured bacterium
Lineage: Bacteria
Description: partial 16S ribosomal RNA
Rfam family: Bacterial small subunit ribosomal RNA
Source: RNAcentral